UGCAGCACAGCAAUCCAUUCUUA
Molecule: non-coding RNA, 23 nt
Filed under: Mus musculus (house mouse)
Lineage: Eukaryota; Metazoa; Chordata; Mammalia; Rodentia; Muridae
Source: RNAcentral